CAACCCAGGAUUCCAAAGCUCUGCAAAGGAAUGCAGGUCUCAACUCCCCUACUGCUUAGCACUCACUACUAGACUAACCCUGCUGAGAAGACUGAAAAGAGAAAACAAUGGGAGCUUCCAAUCUUUGCCAUGGUAACCCAGGAGAACUACCACAGAACAGCACAGCAGCAUGCAUGGAUCAUCUCAUCGUCCUGAUUACACAGGCCUUGUCCCUGCUGGACACCUCUACUGCAAAUAUUUUCCAGCCGAGGAGGAAGAUAAGAUUUGGGUUUCUUGCUUUUCAUUCACUCUAUAAAACUCAAUGCCAGGUUGGCAGGUGGGGAGCCAGAUGCUUCACCCUUCCUUGGUUUCCUGCUUUCUAAAGAUACUAAAAGGAAAAACAAUUGAGGUUUGAAGGUGGGAGUCAAAAAUAAUCACCUUUUCCCUUGUUAACCCUAAUACUUGAAAUUGCUUUUAAAUCACUGGGCAGAUGAAAUCCCUAUUGUAAAACUUUGAAUCUCAUUUUAUCUGCUUGAAGCAGAAGGUCCGCUCUUUUCUGGAUUUCAUCAGCAACUUUGUAGCAGAACAGGAAGUAUAAUAAGUGAAUGAGGGGUGGCCUGUGUUUCACAGGGACAGGCCAGCUACACCUCCACAAGAAAUUCAAUCUUCUAGGUCUGAAUGUGUAGAGGGAGGAAAAGAGACAGUUGUUUUCAAUGAGC
RNAcentral lists this long non-coding RNA (698 nucleotides) under Mus spicilegus (steppe mouse). RNAcentral describes it as "lncRNA (ENSMSIG00000028681.1)". The record is from RNAcentral. Lineage: Eukaryota; Metazoa; Chordata; Mammalia; Rodentia; Muridae.